CCUGAACGCCGGCGGCGUGGCUAAGACAUGCAAGUCGCACGGAGCCGUAGCAAUACGGUUCAGUGGCGAACGGGUGAGUAAUGAAUCGCUAAUGUACCCCGGACUCUGGGAUAGCCAGACCGAAAGGACUGGGUAAUACCAGAUGAUAUGCAGCUGUCGCAUGACAGUUGCCUCAAAGGUCCGCCGGUCUGGGAGCAGGCGAUUUCGCAUCAGCUAGUUGGUGAGGUAACGGCUCACCAAGGCGACGACGCGUAACCGGACUGAGAGGUUGGCCGGUCACAUUGGGACUGAGACACUGCCCAGACUCCGUACGGGGGGCU
RNAcentral lists this ribosomal RNA (320 nucleotides) under uncultured bacterium. RNAcentral describes it as "bacterial SSU rRNA". It matches the Rfam family "Bacterial small subunit ribosomal RNA", at positions 30 to 350 of the family's 1533-position model. The record is from RNAcentral.